This is a non-coding RNA of Mycoplasma haemofelis Ohio2, 72 nucleotides long. The record is from Rfam. Lineage: Bacteria; Bacillati; Mycoplasmatota; Mollicutes; Mycoplasmatales; Mycoplasmataceae.
GACUUGCUAGCUCAGCGGUAGAGCAUUCGCCUUUUAAGCGAAGGGUCCUGGGUUCGAAUCCCAGGCGAGUCA